This 253-nucleotide ribosomal RNA is filed under the name uncultured bacterium. Its description in RNAcentral is "partial 16S ribosomal RNA". It matches the Rfam family "Bacterial small subunit ribosomal RNA", at positions 524 to 776 of the family's 1533-position model. The record is from RNAcentral.
UACGAAGGUGGCAAGCGUUACUCGGAAUUACUAGGCGUAAAGGGCAGGUAGGUGGUUUGGUUAGUCUGUUGUGAAAGCUCCUUGCUUAACGGGGAGAGGUCAACAGAUACUGCCAGACUUGAGUCUAGGAGAGGGUACUGGAAUUCCCGGUGUAGCGGUGAAAUGCGCAGAGAUCGGGAGGAACACCAAUGGCGAAAGCAGGUACCUGGACUAGUACUGACACUCAGCUGCGAAAGCUAGGGGAGCAAACAGG